Molecule: non-coding RNA, 76 nt
Organism: Podarcis raffonei (Aeolian wall lizard)
Lineage: Eukaryota; Metazoa; Chordata; Lepidosauria; Squamata; Lacertidae
Source: the annotation of a RefSeq genome assembly
GGAAAUAGCCAUAGCUCAGUGGUAGAGUGUCUGCUUUGAUUGCAGAAGAUUCCAGGUUCAAUCCCUGGUGUCUCCA